RNAcentral lists this ribosomal RNA (496 nucleotides) under uncultured bacterium. RNAcentral's name for it is "partial 16S ribosomal RNA". It matches the Rfam family "Bacterial small subunit ribosomal RNA", at positions 28 to 506 of the family's 1533-position model. The record is from RNAcentral.
GAUGAACGCUGGCGGCGUGCCUAAUACAUGCAAGUCGAGCGAACAGACGAGGAGCUUGCUCCUCUGACGUUAGCGGCGGACGGGUGAGUAACACGUGGAUAACCUACCUAUAAGACUGGGAUAACUUCGGGAAACCGGAGCUAAUACCGGAUAAUAUAUUGAACCGCAUGGUUCAAUAGUGAAAGACGGUUUUGCUGUCACUUAUAGAUGGAUCCGCGCCGCAUUAGCUAGUUGGUAAGGUAACGGCUUACCAAGGCAACAAUGCGUAGCCGACCUGAGAGGGUGAUCGGCCACACUGGAACUGAGACACGGUCCAGACUCCUACGGGAGGCAGCAGUAGGGAAUCUUCCGCAAUGGGCGAAAGCCUGACGGAGCAACGCCGCGUGAGUGAUGAAGGUCUUCGGAUCGUAAAACUCUGUUAUUAGGGAAGAACAAAUGUGUAAGUAACUAUGCACGUCUUGACGGUACCUAAUCAGAAAGCCACGGCUAACUACGU